Molecule: long non-coding RNA, 789 nt
Organism: Chinchilla lanigera (long-tailed chinchilla)
Lineage: Eukaryota; Metazoa; Chordata; Mammalia; Rodentia; Chinchillidae
Exons: 5
Source: RefSeq, a predicted model, not a curated record
CUGCCUGAUAAGGGAACACAUGCCAAGCAGAUCCACAAAGAUUCAACACACCAAACGGUAUUUGUCACUAAUACUGGGUUGAAACAGCAGGGGUGCAGGAUAAGGAGGUAGGCUUUCUGGGUCUCAGACUGUGACUCACUAUUUGACUCUGAGGAGGGUACUUCCUCCUUUCAAUUUUCUACCAUAAAAGGAGUUAGCAGCAUUAUUUACUGAGAUUCCACAAACAAAUCUCAUAAUGGAACAAGGAAAAGGUUGUUUGCCUUGCCUGUUCUUUUCCACAAAGCAGGGUGACUGAGAUGUCAACACGUACCAACCGAAGACAACAGAGGACACUGGAGAACCCGUGAUAUUCACAGGACUUCUGUACAAUCUCCAACUCUUCUGUCGAGUGGAAAAGGCUGGAACCUUUCCAGACAACUGGGUGUUGGCUGUGGGUCUGGAAGAUGAGAUAGAGAUGCUUCUGUUGGAUCCCAUUGACUUCUAAGGGGUUCCCUGUUGAAUGCCUGUGAGACUAGAAGAACUAUCACAGAAAAAAAUAAUCUAGAGGAGUCCUCCAAACCAAACUGCUAAUGAAAGGUCAAGUAGAAAGCAUGUGGCAUUCUACAAGUGCUGGGGACCUUAUACAUGUCAGGCCAUUCCGAUCAUUUCCUGGAAGACAUAACAAAUAUAGACACAUAAGUUGCUUGUAGGACUGGAAGAGGAUGCUGUUCAGAAGAAAAACAGGACGUUGAGAAGAGCAUGUCUUUGUUCCAAAAAAGGUACAUCGGCUUCCCCUAAUGCUUUGAUCCU